This 231-nucleotide unclassified non-coding RNA is filed under the name Melitaea cinxia (Glanville fritillary). RNAcentral's name for it is "misc RNA ENSMCXG00005001626.1". The record is from RNAcentral. Lineage: Eukaryota; Metazoa; Arthropoda; Insecta; Lepidoptera; Nymphalidae.
UUCACCUAUAAUUUUGAAAAUAAAGGCCGCAAAAUAUUUUUUCUGCAUGCCAUUUUAGAGUUUAUUUAAAGCUAUUAAAAGUCACACAAUAUAAAGGGUGUCCAGCGGGAAUUUUUCAACUUUAAAUCAACGUUACUCAUUUGUAAGCGGGGUUAGGGCCGCGGAGGGGGUGGCGUUAGAAGCGACGUUUCUGCGGAUUUGUCAGUCGCCAUGAGUCAUUGGUCGGGCGCG